RNAcentral lists this ribosomal RNA (583 nucleotides) under uncultured bacterium. Its description in RNAcentral is "partial 16S ribosomal RNA". It matches the Rfam family "Bacterial small subunit ribosomal RNA", at positions 355 to 937 of the family's 1533-position model. The record is from RNAcentral.
UGGGGAAUUUUGGACAAUGGGCGAAAGCCUGAUCCAGCAAUGCCGCGUGUGUGAAGAAGGCCUUCGGGUUGUAAAGCACUUUUGUCCGGAAAGAAAUCCUUGGCUCUAAUACAGUCGGGGGAUGACGGUACCGGAAGAAUAAGCACCGGCUAACUACGUGCCAGCAGCCGCGGUAAUACGUAGGGUGCAAGCGUUAAUCGGAAUUACUGGGCGUAAAGCGUGCGCAGGCGGUUUGCUAAGACCGAUGUGAAAUCCCCGGGCUCAACCUGGGAACUGCAUUGGUGACUGGCAGGCUAGAGUAUGGCAGAGGGGGGUAGAAUUCCACGUGUANCAGUGAAAUGCGUAGAGAUGUGGAGGAAUACCGAUGGCGAAGGCAGCCCCCUGGGCCAAUACUGACGCUCAUGCACGAAAGCGUGGGGAGCAAAACAGGAUUAGAUACCCUGGUAGUCCACGCCCUAAACGAUGUCAACUAGUUGUUGGGGAUUCAUUCUUAGUAACGUAGCUAACGCGUGAAGUUGACCGCCUGGGGAGUACGGUCGCAAGAUUAAAACUCAAAGGAAUUGACGGGGUCAUAGCUGUUUCC